GAUGAACGCUAGCGGAAGGCUUAAUACAUGCAAGUCGAGCGGUAUAGUGACUUCGGUUGCUAGAGAGCGGCGCACGGGUGAGUAACGCGUACAUGACCUACCUCUAAGAUCGGGAUAGCCCUGGGAAACUGGGAUUAAUACCGGAUGUGAUAAUAAGUAUAAGGAUUUAUUAUUAAAGUUGAGGCGCUUAGAGAUGGGUGUGCGUCUGAUUAGCUAGUUGGUAGGUAAGGGCCUACCAAGGCGACGAUCAGUAGGGGGCUGAGAGCGUGAUCCCCCACACGGGUACUGAGACACGGACCCGACUCCUACGGGAGGCAGCAGUAGGGAAUAUUGGUCAAUGGACGGAAGUCUGAACCAGCCAUUCCGCGUGCAGGAAGAAGGUCCUAUGGACUGUAAACUGCUUUUAGCAGAGAAGAAACGCCUUCAUUUAUGAGGGUCUGACGGUAUCUGCGGGAAUAAGCACCGGCUAACUCCGUGCCAGCAGCCG
RNAcentral lists this ribosomal RNA (487 nucleotides) under uncultured bacterium. RNAcentral's name for it is "bacterial SSU rRNA". It matches the Rfam family "Bacterial small subunit ribosomal RNA", at positions 28 to 517 of the family's 1533-position model. The record is from RNAcentral.